ACAUAGCUGAUGAGUCCCAAAUAGGACGAAACGCGCGUCCUGGAU
Molecule: non-coding RNA, 45 nt
Organism: Schistosoma rodhaini
Lineage: Eukaryota; Metazoa; Platyhelminthes; Trematoda; Strigeidida; Schistosomatidae
Source: Rfam